Molecule: ribosomal RNA, 651 nt
Filed under: Salmonella enterica
Lineage: Bacteria; Pseudomonadati; Pseudomonadota; Gammaproteobacteria; Enterobacterales; Enterobacteriaceae
Description: partial 23S ribosomal RNA
Rfam family: Bacterial large subunit ribosomal RNA
Source: RNAcentral
GGGUUGUGAGGUUAAGCGACUAAGCGUACACGGUGGAUGCCCUGGCAGUCAGAGGCGAUGAAGGGCGUGCUAAUCUGCGAUAAGCGCCGGUAAGGUGAUAUGAACCGUUAUAACCGGCGAUACCCGAAUGGGGAAACCCAGUGUGAUUCGUCACACUAUCAUUAACUGAAUCCAUAGGUUAAUGAGGCGAACCGGGGGAACUGAAACAUCUAAGUACCCCGAGGAAAAGAAAUCAACCGAGAUUCCCCCAGUAGCGGCGAGCGAACGGGGAGGAGCCCAGAGCCUGAAUCAGCAUGUGUGUUAGUGGAAGCGUCUGGAAAGGCGCGCGAUACAGGGUGACAGCCCCGUACACAAAAGCGCAUGUGCUGUGAGCUCGAUGAGUAGGGCGGGACACGUGGUAUCCUGUCUGAAUAUGGGGGGACCAUCCUCCAAGGCUAAAUACUCCUGACUGACCGAUAGUGAACCAGUACCGUGAGGGAAAGGCGAAAAGAACCCCGGCGAGGGGAGUGAAACAGAACCUGAAACCGUGUACGUACAAGCAGUGGGAGCCCCACCACUAAGCCAGUGGUGAACUCCACAUACGCAUCCUUUGCUGAGGAGACGGUUAACGGAGCGAAAGCGACGUUCAACCUCAAAACAAGCAGAGGGGGC